Capra hircus (goat) is the source of this 2851-nucleotide long non-coding RNA. RefSeq lists it as uncharacterized. Lineage: Eukaryota; Metazoa; Chordata; Mammalia; Artiodactyla; Bovidae. The record is from RefSeq and is a predicted model, not a curated record. The transcript has 5 exons.
GUCAAAUGUUUAUUUCAUGACAAAAAUGAGGAAUGUUGGUGUAUUACUCUGCAUUGUAAAGUGUAACAAGUUCAGAGUAAGCUAACUGGAAGCUUGGAAACCAAGGAUGGAUAGAUCCUCAGAUAGAUUUUUAUAUCAGUAAAGAAUUGCAUUUGGCUUCCAGUGACAGACUUGUGUGAUUUAAAUAUAUAUGGUUGUACACUUGUCAAUCAAAGUAUAGAGCUAGGCAGACACUGAGUUCAGUAGCUCAUGAGUGUCAGGGAUGCUGGGAUACAUUUCUUAGCCUUCUACUCAGUCCCCAAAUGGCUGCUAGACCUCAGGACCGUGCAAGCAGUUUUUGAGAAAGAAGAAAAGGGGUUUUUGUCAGCUUCAUAAACUUUUCCAGAGGUCUUAUCCAACUGUUUAUUACAUCUUCCUUAUGAGAUAUGCUUACCUCUUACUGUAUUCCCUAAGAGCAAUCGAGACUGUGAGAGACAAUCUCUUCCACAUCUCUCUCCUACAUUCUGAUGGAUUUCUAGCCGUUUUGAUUUUCUUUCUUUAUAGAAGCCUCACCCUGGUCUCAGCCUUCAUCUGGACGUGGUGUUCUGCUUUUAUCUUCACAUAGUGUCUGACUCCAUGCGAAUUUCUCAUUUUAUGAGAACACCAUUCAUAUUGGAUUAGGGCCCUAAUGACUUCAUCUUAACUUAAUUACAUCUUCAAAGACCCUUCCCAAAUGAGACCAUACUGGGAGUUAGAACCUCAACAUAUACUUUUGAAGGAACAUAAUUCAAUAUGUAACAGUUGGUGUGCAAAUUACUUAAUCAGAAAAAUGAAACCGCAACCUCCACAUUGCAACAACCUUUUUUUUUACCCCUCCAUUUUAUGAAGAAAUGAUAUACUAUAGAGAUAUUUAAGCAAUUUAAGUGCCAACUAAGUAGCAUACAUUGGAAAUACUGCUUUUAGUACAUAAUUAUGAAUAUAUAUGGUAAGUCUAGAUUACAGGUGGGUUGCUCCUGACUCUGAAGAUACAGAUUUACUUCACAUUAUAGCUGUACAAUUAACCAGCGUUCAGCACAACAGCUCACUUUUCUCAAAAUAACACUUUUUUGAAAAUUUUUUUCAUUCCCAAAUAUACUGAAAACUAUAUACUAAAUCAAUAGUACAUUUCCAGAAAAAGACAGAAUUGCCACUUAGUUAACACAAUCAUUUCUAAUAUCUUUUGCAACAAAUUCAAAUUAAGCAUCAUGUUUGGAUGAAACAAAAGGUUGUUGUUCUGUGUUAGUAUGCCAGGUGGGAAGAUGUAGCAUCUUUUGAAUCUUUAUUCUCUUCUGUACAUGUUUCCAUGUGUCUCCACAUGUUCUACUGUUUGUAGGUUUUAGCCUUUAUUUUUGUCACAGUCUUAAGAAAAAGGAAUUCUUUUCCAGGAUUUAAUUGUGCCGCCAAAAAGACAAGGUCAAGGUUUGAACUCUGGUACCUGUGAAUAGGAGCUUAUUUGAAGUAGGGUCUUUGUAGAUGGAAUCAACUUAUGAUAAAAUCAUAAGGGAGGAUGGAUGCUCAUCAAAAGAUUGAUGGCUUCCUAAGAAGAGGGGAAUUUGGACACAGAAGGAGAAGACCAUGGGAAGACAGAGACAGGGAAUAAAAUGAUAUAUCUACAAGCCACAGAAUGCCAAGGAUUACAGGGAGUCUCCAGAAGCUAAGAGAGAGGCCUGGGACAGACUCUCCCCCGGAGACUCCAGAAAGCGUGCCAAGACUUUCGGACUUGAUUUCAGACCUCUGGCUUACAGAACUAUGAGAGAACUAAUGUCUGUUGUUUCAAACCACCCAGCUUGUGCUAUUUCUUAUGGCAGCCCUAGGAAACUAAUGUGUCCAGUACAUCCAAUUGUGAUGUCAAAUUCCUGUCUGAAGAUAAGCACCAACUGCCAUCCUUGAAGCUCUGCCUGCCUUAGACAAGGUUUCAGGAAUGAAGUUAAAAUCAUUAAAUGAGCCAUAGAGUUUACUAUUAAUAUAUGAUUCUGAUGAUCACAGCCUGAAUAAAGAAAAAAGAUAUUUCUAGCAAGAAUAAGUCUGCCUUCACCUCCUUCUCCCAAAACAGAAGUUCCUUGAAUUCACGUAUCUUAGUCACUGAUGAAUCCCAAAAACCUAAGGCUGUCUGGUGUAUAACAGAUGCCCAGUGGUUACUCCAUUUUUUAAAAUGAGAACUGCAGUAGAAACUGGUGCAUAGCAUCAGCUGAAGUAUUCUGAUGGCAGCAGAAGUGGCCAAGGCCUGACGGUCCUUUCUGCAGUGGUGCUCUGGGAGUCAGUGCUUCAGGCCCACUUAGAGCUCUCCUGCCCUGCAAAAAUUUGGUUAAAUGAGGUCAUCUUGGAUCAAUAGGACUAGUGUCUUUAUGAGAAAAGGAAGAGAUUACAGGAAUGCACGUGAGCAGAGGAAAGGCCAUGUGAGAACAAACCAAGAAGGCAGCCAUCUGCAAGCCCCAGAGUGAGGCCUCAGAAGACAUGAACCCUGCCAGCACCUGGAUCUUGCACUUCCAGCCUGCAGAACAGUGAGAAGAAAGUUAUGCUAUUUAAGAUAACUGUGUGAGGUAUUAAUAUUUUGUUAUGGCAGCCCUAGCAAAGUAAUAUAGUUGGAAACUGCUCUGUGUUUUUUAAUUUAGUCCUAAAAAUGACUCACAUCUAUCCAUUUUAGAACUACUAGCAUACAUGAUAACAAAUGUGUCAAUUAGAGGCUUUUGAAAAAAAUUCAAUUUGGAUGAAAUUAGACACAGUUUCACGUCUCUGAGUUUAACAUGUAAUUUAGAGCAGUAGAGACUUCCACCUUUACAAAUCACUGUGUUAAUAUUAUCACCAAUGUUUGUUGUAAAAUAUUUAGAAAACA